UUAAAAUAAAAUUGAAGAUAUUCUUUAGAACUUAUACUUGAAGAUAGGGACUAUUUUAACAAUGAAAUUGAAACAUUUUGUUGAUGAUAUUAGAACUUUUUCAUCGACAAGCUAGGCACAUGUAAUGCAUGCCGAACAAAAGUCUCUAGUGUAUGGCUUGAAGAUCACCCCAUGAAUCGAUGUUGUUGCGAUUGGCAUCUAGUGAUUUGAUACCUUUAUAAAUAAUUUUGUUCUUCUCUAUCAAAAUAAUUACUAAAAAAAAAUAUAGUAUAUAUAAUAUUAUCUUCUAGAAAAAUAAUU
This 300-nucleotide long non-coding RNA is filed under the name Cucumis sativus (cucumber). Its description in RNAcentral is "long non-coding RNA (CSAT_LNC000322)". The record is from RNAcentral. Lineage: Eukaryota; Viridiplantae; Streptophyta; Magnoliopsida; Cucurbitales; Cucurbitaceae.